Long non-coding RNA from Olea europaea var. sylvestris, 390 nucleotides. RefSeq lists it as uncharacterized. The record is from RefSeq and is a predicted model, not a curated record. The transcript is spliced from 3 exons. Lineage: Eukaryota; Viridiplantae; Streptophyta; Magnoliopsida; Lamiales; Oleaceae.
AAAUUUACCUAAAUAAUGGCCAUAAUAUUCGUCACUGCAACUUCUCUAUGUUAAUGGGAUUUUUAAUCCUAGCUAAUCGGAAAUCCUAUCCUAUUUAUGUACUAGGUCAAUUCAAAGAAUAUUGAAAUACCCCCCAACAAGAACCUUGAGCGGAGAGGAGAAGCAGGAUCUCUGGAAAUUUCGUUUUUCACUGAUGUCUGAAAAGAGGGCUUUGACAAAAUUUCUGCGUUGUGUUGAAUGGAGUGAUGUUCAGGAAGCAAAGCAGGCAUUAGAACUGAUGGGCAAGUGGGAGACAAUUGAUGUUUCUGAUGCACUGGAGCUUCUAUCUUCAGUUUUUGAGAGUGAAGAGGUCCGUGCAUAUGCUGUUACUGUUCUUGAAAGAGCUGAUGA